UUUUAAAUCCGUGGUAGCGAAAAUCCUUUUUGUUGGCAUUAACUCAGCAUUACAGGAAGUAACAAAAAGAUUGAAACGUAUGACGGGAACAAAC
This 94-nucleotide small RNA is filed under the name Pedobacter sp. SG908. RNAcentral's name for it is "Flavo-1 RNA". It matches the Rfam family "Flavo-1 RNA". Lineage: Bacteria; Pseudomonadati; Bacteroidota; Sphingobacteriia; Sphingobacteriales; Sphingobacteriaceae. RNAcentral also lists the same sequence under 1 other name. The record is from RNAcentral.